RNAcentral lists this non-coding RNA (356 nucleotides) under Heterocephalus glaber (naked mole-rat). RNAcentral describes it as "Eukaryotic small subunit ribosomal RNA". It matches the Rfam family "Eukaryotic small subunit ribosomal RNA", at positions 63 to 604 of the family's 1831-position model. The record is from Rfam by way of RNAcentral. Lineage: Eukaryota; Metazoa; Chordata; Mammalia; Rodentia; Bathyergidae.
GUAUAUAAUUGUUUCACAUUGGAAACAAUGGAUAUACUAUGUAUCAUUCACAGUGCUCAGAACUUUCAGCUCUGUGAAAUGUUGGUGCUAUUUUCAGUUUAUAAAGUGCAUGGGUUGCAGAAAAGUGAAGUAUCUUACUUAGGAGCCUAAGAAAUGGCUACCACAUCCAAGGAAAGCAGCAGGCAUGCAAAUUACCCACUCCCGACCCAGGGAGGUAGUGACGAAAAAUAACAAUACAGGAUUCUUUCGAGGCCCUGUAAUUGGAAUGAGACCACUUUAAAUCCUUUCACGAGGAUCCAUUGAAGGGCAAGUCUGGUGCCAGCAGCCGCAAUAAUUCCAGCUCCAAUAGCAUAUAU